AUUGAACGCUGGCGGCAGGCCUAACACAUGCAAGUCGAACGAGUGGCGGACGGGUGAGUAAUGUCUGGGAAACUGCCUGAUGGAGGGGGAUAACUACUGGAACCGGUAGUUAAUACCGCAUACCAUCGGAUGUGCCCCGAUGGGAUUAGCUAGUCGGUGGGGUAAAGGCUCACCUAGGCGACGAUCCCUAGCUGGUCUGAGAGGAUGACCAGCCACACUGGGACUGAGACACGGUGCAGACUCCUACGGGAGGCAGCAGUGGGGAAUAUGGCACGAUGGGCGCAAGCCGGAUACAGCCAUGCCGCGUGUAUGAAGAGGGCCUGCGGGUUGUAGAGUUCUUUCAGCGGGGAGGCGUUACCCGCAGAAGAAGCACCGGCUAACUCCGUGCCAGCAGCCGCGGUAAUUC
Molecule: ribosomal RNA, 406 nt
Filed under: uncultured bacterium
Lineage: Bacteria
Description: partial 16S ribosomal RNA
Rfam family: Bacterial small subunit ribosomal RNA
Source: RNAcentral